Molecule: ribosomal RNA, 1700 nt
Filed under: Klebsiella aerogenes
Lineage: Bacteria; Pseudomonadati; Pseudomonadota; Gammaproteobacteria; Enterobacterales; Enterobacteriaceae
Description: partial 23S ribosomal RNA
Rfam family: Bacterial large subunit ribosomal RNA
Source: RNAcentral
UUCUGUAAGCCUGCGAAGGUGGCCUGUGAGGGUUGCUGGAGGUAUCAGAAGUGCGAAUGCUGACAUAAGUAACGAUAAUGCGGGUGAAAAGCCCGCACGCCGGAAGACCAAGGGUUCCUGUCCAACGUUAAUCGGGGCAGGGUGAGUCGACCCCUAAGGCGAGGCCGAAAGGCGUAGUCGAUGGGAAACAGGUUAAUAUUCCUGUACUUGGUGUUACUGCGAAGGGGGGACGGAGAAGGCUAUGUUAGCCGGGCGACGGUUGUCCCGGUUUAAGCAUGUAGGCGGAGGUUCCAGGUAAAUCCGGUACCUUUUAACGCUGAGGUGUGAUGACGAGGCACUACGGUGCUGAAGUAACAAAUGCCCUGCUUCCAGGAAAAGCCUCUAAGCAUCAGGUAACAUUGAAUCGUACCCCAAACCGACACAGGUGGUCAGGUAGAGAAUACCAAGGCGCUUGAGAGAACUCGGGUGAAGGAACUAGGCAAAAUGGUGCCGUAACUUCGGGAGAAGGCACGCUGAUAUGUAGGUGAAGCCCCUGCGGGUGGAGCUGAAAUCAGUCGAAGAUACCAGCUGGCUGCAACUGUUUAUUAAAAACACAGCACUGUGCAAACACGAAAGUGGACGUAUACGGUGUGACGCCUGCCCGGUGCCGGAAGGUUAAUUGAUGGGGUUAUCCGUAAGGAGAAGCUCUUGAUCGAAGCCCCGGUAAACGGCGGCCGUAACUAUAACGGUCCUAAGGUAGCGAAAUUCCUUGUCGGGUAAGUUCCGACCUGCACGAAUGGCGUAAUGAUGGCCAGGCUGUCUCCACCCGAGACUCAGUGAAAUUGAACUCGCUGUGAAGAUGCAGUGUACCCGCGGCAAGACGGAAAGACCCCGUGAACCUUUACUAUAGCUUGACACUGAACAUUGAGCCUUGAUGUGUAGGAUAGGUGGGAGGCUUUGAAGCGUGGACGCCAGUCUGCGUGGAGCCAACCUUGAAAUACCACCCUUUAAUGUUUGAUGUUCUAACGUUGGCCCCUGACCGGGGUUGCGGACAGUGUCUGGUGGGUAGUUUGACUGGGGCGGUCUCCUCCCAAAGAGUAACGGAGGAGCACGAAGGUUAGCUAAUCCUGGUCGGACAUCAGGAGGUUAGUGCAAUGGCAUAAGCUAGCUUGACUGCGAGCGUGACGGCGCGAGCAGGUGCGAAAGCAGGUCAUAGUGAUCCGGUGGUUCUGAAUGGAAGGGCCAUCGCUCAACGGAUAAAAGGUACUCCGGGGAUAACAGGCUGAUACCGCCCAAGAGUUCAUAUCGACGGCGGUGUUUGGCACCUCGAUGUCGGCUCAUCACAUCCUGGGGCUGAAGUAGGUCCCAAGGGUAUGGCUGUUCGCCAUUUAAAGUGGUACGCGAGCUGGGUUUAGAACGUCGUGAGACAGUUCGGUCCCUAUCUGCCGUGGGCGCUGGAGAAUUGAGGGGGGCUGCUCCUAGUACGAGAGGACCGGAGUGGACGCAUCACUGGUGUUCGGGUUGUCAUGCCAAUGGCAUUGCCCGGUAGCUAAAUGCGGAAGAGAUAAGUGCUGAAAGCAUCUAAGCACGAAACUUGCCCCGAGAUGAGUUCUCCCUGAGACUUUAAGUCUCCUGAAGGAACGUUAAAGACGAUGACGUUGAUAGGUCGGGUGUGUAAGCGUAGCGAUACGUUGAGCUAACCGAUACUAAUGAACCGUGAG